RNAcentral lists this transfer RNA (83 nucleotides) under Gammaproteobacteria bacterium. RNAcentral's name for it is "tRNA-Leu". It matches the Rfam family "tRNA". From Rfam's summary of the family: Transfer RNA (tRNA) molecules are approximately 80 nucleotides in length. Their secondary structure includes four short double-helical elements and three loops (D, anti-codon, and T loops). The record is from RNAcentral. Lineage: Bacteria; Pseudomonadati; Pseudomonadota; Gammaproteobacteria.
GCCGGAGUGGUGGAACUGGUAGACACGCUGUCUUGAGGGGGCAGUGGCCCACGGCCGUGUCGGUUCGAGUCCGACCUUCGGCA